Molecule: ribosomal RNA, 418 nt
Filed under: uncultured bacterium
Lineage: Bacteria
Description: bacterial SSU rRNA
Rfam family: Bacterial small subunit ribosomal RNA
Source: RNAcentral
UGGGGAAUAUUGCACAAUGGGGGAAACCCUGAUGCAGCGACGCCGCGUGAAGGAAGAAGUAUCUCGGUAUGUAAACUUCUAUCAGCAGGGAAGAAAAUGACGGUACCUGACUAAGAAGCCCCGGCUAACUACGUGCCAGCAGCCGCGGUAAUACGUAGGGGGCAAGCGUUAUCCGGAUUUACUGGGUGUAAAGGGAGCGUAGACGGAGCAGCAAGUCUGAUGUGAAAGGCGGGGGCUCAACCCCGGACUGCAUUGGAACUGUUGAUCUUGAGUACCGGAGAGGUCAAGGCGGAAUUGACCGUAGUGUAGCGGUGAAAUGCGUAGAUAUUAGGAGGAACACCAGUGGCGAAGGCGGCUUACUGGACGGUAACUGACGUUGAGGCUCGAAAGCGUGGGGAGCAAACAGGAUUAGAUACCC